CACGCAGGCGGUCUGUUAAGUUGGAUGUGAAAUCCCCGGGCUCAACCUGGGAACUGCAUCCAAAACUGGCAAGCUAGAGUAUGGUAGAGGGUGGUGGAAUUUCCUGUGUAGCGGUGAAAUGCGUAGAUAUAGGAAGGAACACCAGUGGCGAAGGCGACCACCUGGACUGAUACUGACACUGAGGUGCGAAAGCGUGGGGAGCAAACAGGAUUAGAUACCCAGUA
This 224-nucleotide ribosomal RNA is filed under the name uncultured Pseudomonas sp. RNAcentral's name for it is "partial 16S ribosomal RNA". It matches the Rfam family "Bacterial small subunit ribosomal RNA", at positions 568 to 791 of the family's 1533-position model. The record is from RNAcentral. Lineage: Bacteria; Pseudomonadati; Pseudomonadota; Gammaproteobacteria; Pseudomonadales; Pseudomonadaceae.